RNAcentral lists this long non-coding RNA (208 nucleotides) under Panax ginseng (ginseng). Its description in RNAcentral is "long non-coding RNA (PGIN_LNC012626)". Lineage: Eukaryota; Viridiplantae; Streptophyta; Magnoliopsida; Apiales; Araliaceae. The record is from RNAcentral.
UGACCAGUAACUGCAUCACAUUUAAAAUAAAAUUGGUAAUCAAAUAAAACUGAAUUGGUUACCUUAUCAAAUGGUUUGGUAACCAACUAUAUGAAAUUUGGUUACCAACUGCAUCACAUCCAAAAUAAAUUAGUAACCUAAUAAAACUAAAUUGGUUACCUUAUCGGAAGGUUUAGUAACCAACUGCAUAAAUUUUGGUUACCAACUG